AAGUCAUUUAGAUCCUGUAAUGUAUCCUUGUUCUGAGUGUAUAGGUUCUGCAGCAUCCUCUUUGUAGUUAAAGUUGUCUGUGAUAUUAAGUGGAGCCAUUUGAUUUGUUGUGAUAAGACCACAUAAUACUAGUCACUAGAUGAGGCAAAAUUUGUGCCUUCAUUUAUAUGAAACUAGUCAAUUUUUCCACGCGAAGUAAAUUCAGAAAUAUCCUUUUCAUAAAUUUAGUGAAGAUAUGUAGAAGAAAUAACUUUUUCAUGUUAAAAAAAAGAAAGUCUUAUCAUGGUACAUAUGUGUGUGUGUGUGUGUGGGAGGGGGAGGUGGGAGCAUAUAUAUGUACAAAUGUGUGAUUUACAUGAUAAAUAGGUAUUUUCAUUUAUCAUAGUGCAAAUGUAAUGCAUGCAUCCUGCAUAAAUUCAUUAAAGAAGCUUUUCUAAGAUAGUAUGUUAAUCUUUCUGAAAUCAUUAAUUGAAACAUUGUAAAGAGGAAAAGCUCAUGCGAAGCUUAAGUUUCAUUGUUCACACAUGGGAUUCUUGACGCUUAUAAGGAUUUUUAAUAGGUAAAUUUUAUCAUUAAACCACCAAUUACCAUACAAAUAAAAAUAUUUAUUUCUUUCUUUUGUAUAUUGAGAGUAAAGUUAUACAAAUGAAAUAUAUACUUUUUUAGUUAGCAGCAAAAAGUCUUCGUAGGCAACAAACCGAGCUAGUAUAUGGAAGUAUGCAACCAUGUGUAAUAGUUACCGCAGCAAUGGUCUUUUCUGCUUUCUUGUUCUUCCUCACAAUCAAGAGUAGAUGCCCUGAAAUUAUUCUGUUGCUCUUAUUAUCACGAACUGCAUCCCAAAUAUCUAUUCCACCUCCUACAACCAUUCAACAGAAAUUAAGUUGAAGAACUAUUUCAUUGAAAUUAUAUCCAGGCCAGGAUUUCAAAUCCCUUUUAAACAAUGAAUUAAACUUACACUUGUAAAAUGCAAAAGCCGGAGUAGAGCACAAUUAAAUAAGUACAAAGUUGCGUUUAUGAUUUAUAACAAAUAUUGCAUUCAUCCAAUAUCUACAAAGAAAUUCAAUAAUUUAUUAACUAUGUAGAAUAUUGGGUUCAUCUAAACCAUCUAUAGAGAAAUUCAGUCAUUUGGCAUAUUUUAACAUGAUUCAAAAUUUCUAUGGUCAUGUACUCAUGUAUAUUUGGCUAAAUUCAAAAUUACUGGUAUCAAUUCAGCUAAAGCAAAUAAUUCUCGAUCAUUAACUGAUGAAAAAAGAUUACCUGUAGUCUUCGGUAAAUAAUCUUCUAAAUUUGAAAAUUUGGGGACGUACUCAACGUCUUCACAUUUUCUGCUUAUCAAGAAGAGGAACAA
RNAcentral lists this long non-coding RNA (1348 nucleotides) under Nicotiana benthamiana. RNAcentral's name for it is "long non-coding RNA (NBEN_LNC022209)". Lineage: Eukaryota; Viridiplantae; Streptophyta; Magnoliopsida; Solanales; Solanaceae. The record is from RNAcentral.